GACGUAGGGCGCGAGCGUUGUCCGGAUUUAUUGGGCGUAAAGAGCUCGUAGGCGGCUUGUCGCGUCGAAUGUGAAAUCUCGGGGCUCAACUCCGAGCUUGCAUUCGAUACGGGCAGGCUAGAGUUCGGUAGGGGAGACUGGAAUUCCUGGUGUAGCGGUGAAAUGCGCAGAUAUCAGGAGGAACACCGAUGGCGAAGGCAGGUCUCUGGGCCGAUACUGACGCUGAGGAGCGAAAGCGUGGGGAGCGAACAGG
RNAcentral lists this ribosomal RNA (253 nucleotides) under uncultured bacterium. RNAcentral describes it as "partial 16S ribosomal RNA". It matches the Rfam family "Bacterial small subunit ribosomal RNA", at positions 524 to 776 of the family's 1533-position model. The record is from RNAcentral.